CAAAUUAGGGAAAGAUCCCUUAUCCGGAGAAGCUCAAGUCCCAAGCAUUCUGGAUAACAGGUCCCAUACCUGUGUUAACAUUCAAGGUGCAGGCAAUGUCAAGCAGGGGCAGAAGGGCUGCAGUACAACAUAUGUGUUAUAUUUAUAAAUACCUUGUACUACAAACAAUAAAAGCAUAGAGGUAAAUGUGUGUUAGGCAAGAGAUGACAGCAGAGAGGAAUACAACACACCAGUGAAAUGCAUUGUGGGAUAUGUGGUUUCUGUAAGCCCUAGGUGAAUUUGUUACAUUUGGUAACACUGAGUUUUGAUCCCUCCUCCCCUGCUCAUAUUUGCCAUGAUGCAGAAAGAAAGGAGAGCUGUGUUGCUGUUGUAUUUCAUCCUAUAAAACAGGUAUUUAUUCCUCUAAAAGAAUAAUUGCUAUGCAAAGCAAGGUUGCCCGUUUGGCGGUUUUAUAGCCAAAUUGGGCUUUUUAAAAAAAUAAUUGGUGGGUUUUAAAAGUCCAAACGGAUUUGGGCUAGUUUUGGAAGUUGCCACGGGUUUGGACUUUUAAAAGCCUAAUUUUUUAAUGCAAAUUGAGUUUGAGUGAUGCUGUCUGGGCCUGCCCCACUGCCCCAGCUCCCAUUUCGCUGUGCUGGAUUAAUUGUUGCUGCUGGUGGAAUCUGACUGAGAAAAACCCACUAAUUCUACUAACCUCCCAGAAGCCCGGCUGUGGUUUCAACUUUCUGUGUCUCUGUGAAUGUGUAAUCUGUAUAAGGUAUGGGAAAUUGAACUAGGGCUAGUUUUGGGCUUCUUUUAAAAUGGCUUUUGGCUACUUUUUGGCUAGUUUUUUAAAGUCUUUGGCUGGUUUUGAAAUGUAAACCUGGCAACCCUGAUGCCAAGAUCUAUUAGCGGUGCUUGUGUUGCAUAAGACAAAUAGAUUUAGGUGUGGAGGGUGGACAUUCUCUAUAAAAAAAAUAGCUUUUACCUGGGACUACUAUGGCACGACAACAAACUGGACACCCUGGGCCCAUUCACACAGUAAUUAGAUCCAAUUAGUGCCAAAUUAUAUAGGGGUUUUAUAGGCCCACAGUGAAGAUAAAUAUGGGCUGGUGAUAUUUCUCCCUGGCCAGGGCACACUAGAUCUUCUGUUAUUCUGCUAAACCAGUCUGACUGUAAAUAAUUCACAAACCACAGAAAAUAAAAUAUAGAGAGAAUUGCAAGUUAAAUUGUACUGUCGUCAUCCUCUACUUUAUUAUUUAUAUUUGUGUGUAUUUUUAGCCUUUUUUCUGCUGUUGGCACAGUGGUGAUCUCUGCAACCAGGAGACUGUCCAUGUGCUCCCUGGAUUUGUAUUUUUGCUGUGUGUAUGUGCCAGCGAGUGCACUGAGCAUACAGCCUUCAAGCUAUGAAGUGGAAUGGUGGGAAGGUCCCAGUAAUAACCAUUAUAAACACAAUAUUUAGCCCAUUAACCCAGUGUGAGAAUGCGUGGUGGAGAAUCCAUACCUGCAGGAGGACUGCUGUGUUUAACUCACAGUUUUCCCUCAGAGUCGAACCGCAACAGGCAUCCCCACUAAGAAAGUUCAAGGAUACAUUUCUACUUGAGAAGACACACUGAAUUGCACAUAGCCCCUCAGAAAUUCUGCAUUUGCCCUGAACGAUACCUUGUAAAUGAACUGAUCUGUGUUUCUCACCUCUGGAGCCAUGUAUGCAAGACUCCCAAUUCUGCCGCUGAUGGUGUCAUUGCCAAACACUUUUUCUGCUGCCAAGCCAAAGUCCACGAUCUUAAUUUGACCUUCACUGCUCAGCAUGAUGUUGUCUGGUUUGAUGUCGCUGCAAGGUAAAGGUGUUUCCUCUUUCUGAUCUCCAUCAUGAGACUUCCUCCACUUGCAUACUCCAUCGUGAAGAAGGCGUGGGUCUGGUUAUAGAGACAAAGGAGGAGAUAAUGAGCUACAGGAACAGGUAGCAGUGUAUGUUUCUAAAAAAUGGCAGCAGAACAUGUGAAGCUUCAUGGCCUGCGGCAUUUUGCCCUGCUGAGAAGCACCACAACCUGUCUGCUGUACAGUAAGGCAUUUUAAAUGACAUGAUAAGGGCCUAUGACAUGUUUGUUGAGAUGCAUCAAUUAAAGGAUGAGACGUGUAGAACAAACAUCGCCUAGAAUACAGAUCAUUAGUUAAAUGAAUUGGGGUUUGUUACCUGGGUUUGAAAGGCUGCGUAGGCAUGGCACAGAUAUGGAUGCCCCGCAGCAACCCUGAGCACUCGCGCCUCCCGAACGAUGAUCUCCAUGUUCUCCUUCUGUGGCUUCUUCAGGAUGCUCUUUAUGGCCACAAGUUGUUUGGUGGUGGCUGUGGAAGCCAACGCCACCUGAGAAAAGCAUUGAAAUAAGAAAAGGUUAGAAGUUUUAAUUGGGGACAUUUCUGCAGUGUGUCACUGUGACGGAAUUAACUAAAGUACAGGUAUGUCACCUGUUAUUCAGAAUGUUUGGGACCUGGGGGUUUCUGUAUAAUGGAUCUUUACAUAAUUUGGAUCUUCCUAC
This is a long non-coding RNA of Xenopus laevis (African clawed frog), 2510 nucleotides long. RefSeq lists it as uncharacterized. The transcript is spliced from 5 exons. Lineage: Eukaryota; Metazoa; Chordata; Amphibia; Anura; Pipidae. The record is from RefSeq and is a predicted model, not a curated record.